Long non-coding RNA from Phoenix dactylifera (date palm), 768 nucleotides. RefSeq lists it as uncharacterized. The record is from RefSeq and is a predicted model, not a curated record. Lineage: Eukaryota; Viridiplantae; Streptophyta; Magnoliopsida; Arecales; Arecaceae.
UCUCUUCCUCUCUCUACAAUUUUUUAGCUGCAAGUGUUUAGCUUAACACAAAAAUACUUGCACUUUGUUGUUCAAAGAAUCUAUGAUAAAUUGUAACAUAUUGUUUGAGUAAUACUUUUGUGAGACCCUGGAACUGGGUCCGGUCCACUUGACCGGCCUAGUCCCAACACUUGCACGUGAGGCAGCAACGGGAUGGAUUCUUUCCAUCCCGAAGAAGAAGGAGGAGCCCUGUUUUAGGGCUUCCUUCUCCUUCUUCUUCUCCUUUGAGCCCACCGAAGGAGAGCCGCCGCACGCAAAGGGAGGAGGGUCUUCUUCGUGUGGCCACCGAGAGAGAGGGAGAGAGGGAGAGAGAGAGAGAGAGAGAGAGGGAGAGAGGGAGAGAGAGAGGAGCCACGGCACCGGGUGGUCUCCUUCUUCCUUGCCGCCGGAGAAGAGAGGUGCCGUCUUCGUCGGGGCUAAGGUGCUGCAAGGGAUUUGCGGAAUUAAUUGGAUUUGUUGUGGAUCGCGUUCGCAAGAUUUUGAGAACUAAUCUAUUGGGGAUUCAAAUUGGGGAGAGCGACUAGAAGGAUUGUGGCACAAGUUAUCUUAGAUUAGGGUUAUUUAAGUUGAUUUGUUAUUAUGGACAUUUAUUAUGAUCGGUGGACUUUUGUUAUUUUAAGAACUAGGUUUUUGCAUGUUGGUAAAUGAUUAUUCCGCUGCGUAUUUAGACUUGUGAGACCUUAUGACUUGAGUUAGUCAAUGGAAUAAGAUUGCAUUUAUUCAGUUAAA